RNA transcript from Nicotiana attenuata, 884 nucleotides. It is a transcript of the gene named 40S ribosomal protein S5-like, with no coding region annotated. The transcript has 5 exons. Lineage: Eukaryota; Viridiplantae; Streptophyta; Magnoliopsida; Solanales; Solanaceae. The record is from RefSeq and is a predicted model, not a curated record.
AUGUGUGUAACGAUCGAAUGUACAAUCUCUGUUGAGGAUUACAUCACAGCAACUGCUUCCAAGCAUCCAGUUUAUAUGCCACACACAGCUGGUAGAUACCAGGCUAAGCGUUUCAGGAAGGUCCCAGUGCCCCGAAUUGUUGAGACGGCUCACCAACUCUCUUAUGAUGCAUGGACGGAACAACGGAAAGAAGCUAAUGGCCGUCCGCAUAAUCAAGCACGCAAUGGAGAUCAUUCAUUUGUUGACUGACCAGAACCCAAUUCAAGUCAUUGUUGAUGCCGUCAUUAACAGUGGGCCCAUUUGGGCCAGGGAAGAUGCAACUCGUAUUGGUUCAGCUGGUGUUGUGAGGCGUCAGGCUGUUGAUAUUUCUCCACUUCGCCGUGUUAACCAGGCCAUUUAUUUGCUGACAACUGGUGCACGUGAGAGUGCUUUCAGGAACAUCAAGACCAUAGCUGAGUGCCUUGCAGAUGAACUCAUCAAUGCUGCCAAGGGUUCUUCAAAUAGCUAUGCCAUUAAGAAGAAGGAUGAGAUUGAAAGAGUUGCCAAGGCCAAUCGUUGAGAGGUUGACAUUGGAACAGAAUUUACAAGGCAAUUUUGGGUUAUGCUGUUUUCUCAUUUCUAUUUUCGUUUAGCACUAUAGUCUCAUGGAAAUGAAAGUGGAUCUGAGUAGCACCACAGCUAUUGCAUGUGGAUUUUAAUUUCUUAAGAGUAUUUUGCUUGUUGAAACUUGAUAUGCUUGGUAUUGUUAUAGAUGUUACAAUUUGAAUUCCUCGGGGAUCUGAUUAGCAGCACCUACUAUUUCUUAUGUAUUUUAAUUUCUCAGUAUUCUCUUCUUUUAGGUAAACAGUGAAGACAUGUCCAGUAGGAUGUGCAUCUUAAUUUGG